This is a long non-coding RNA of Sander lucioperca (pikeperch), 140 nucleotides long. RefSeq lists it as uncharacterized. The transcript is spliced from 3 exons. Lineage: Eukaryota; Metazoa; Chordata; Actinopteri; Perciformes; Percidae. The record is from RefSeq and is a predicted model, not a curated record.
UUCCGAUGUCUUGUUGUUAGAGUAGUUGUAAAAACAAGAUGCACUGAAUAAUCGUUUCAAAUGAUCUCAAGCUGACGAGAACAUAGCCGCAACCACAAGCAGGAACUCCCAGGUCUUCUGUGUCACACACUGUGUCCACA